CGGACGGGNGAGUAACACGUGGAUAACCUACCUAUAAGACUGGGAUAACUUCGGGAAACCGGAGCUAAUACCGGAUAAUAUAUUGAACCGCAUGGUUCAAUAGUGAAAGACGGUUUUGCUGUCACUUAUAGAUGGAUCCGCGCCGCAUUAGCUAGUUGGUAAGGUAACGGCUUACCAAGGCAACGAUGCGUAGCCGACCUGAGAGGGUGAUCGGCCACACUGGAACUGAGACACGGUCCAGACUCCUACGGGAGGCAGCAGCC
RNAcentral lists this ribosomal RNA (263 nucleotides) under uncultured Staphylococcus sp. RNAcentral's name for it is "partial 16S ribosomal RNA". It matches the Rfam family "Bacterial small subunit ribosomal RNA", at positions 99 to 355 of the family's 1533-position model. Lineage: Bacteria; Bacillati; Bacillota; Bacilli; Caryophanales; Staphylococcaceae. The record is from RNAcentral.